Molecule: long non-coding RNA, 5293 nt
Organism: Cyprinus carpio carpio
Lineage: Eukaryota; Metazoa; Chordata; Actinopteri; Cypriniformes; Cyprinidae
Source: Ensembl
CCUGUGUAGAGUUCAUGCUUUAAAAAUAGAUCCUCACGUCAGUUUCCUGCUGUUAAAAUAAUAUUCAGCCCAUUGGUGCAACAUCGCAUCCGUCAAAUAAAGAGACUUCUGUUGCAUUUCACACUUCAGUAUCUUUAUUGUGGAAGCAAACAGAAGUAUUUUACAUAAGUUCACACACACAAGCUUUUAUCUCAGAGAGUGUGAAACAAUGCAGAAAACAAGAGAAUGAAGCAGAAUCAAACUUUAGAAAAUAAAACGCUCAUCUGGUCAUUUCCUUUCUCAUUUUCUCAUGAAAGUGUGUUAACAGUUGUGCAGAAAACAUAUAUUUUUACCAUGAUUUACAGAAGACAUCCAUUAAAAUAUAAUUCAGUGUAACACCUGUUCAUAAACCAAACAAUCUCAUCAGGCUUAUGCUCAGGCACACUCUAAAAAAUGCUUGGAUGUUUAUAAACGUAUGGUUGGUUAAACCAUUGUUUUGGCCAAACACUGGAGAUUAACGCUUACUUUUGAUCAGUUUUUAAUCUUUUGAAAUGGUGAGUUAGGAAAUCUUUACUAGGUCUGGGGUGGAUUUCUUAAAAGUGGUUUCCUGAUCGUGUCACGUGACUUCCUUGUGUGUUAUAUUCCUUCUUUUGUAGCAGAAAUAAACUUUUUCCAUUUCAUUUUGAGUGCAUAAUCAUUAGAUUUCGUUAAAAGACUCUACUCAAGGAUCAAAGUUCAGCCCUCAAAAGCUAAUGAUUUUUUUUCAUUUGAAAUCUUUCCAAGUCUUUGCCAUUGCACACUCUAAAAAAUGCUGGGUUGUUUCAACCCAACUUUGGGUCAAAUAUGGACUAACCCAGCAAUUUUUAACCCAAAAGUUGAGGUUUGGAACAUUGCCAGUUUACAUCGGCAUUCCCUAUAUAUUUAUUAUAUAUAUUUAUCCAUAUAUUUUACCAGAUACAGGUCAGCAUAAGUAUGGUGUUUCACAUAAAUCCGUUGCGCUGAAUGAUUAUUUCACCCAUAUUUUGACAUUUUAUUUGAAAGAUUAAAGCAGACACUUUACUUGUAUUUACUUGUAUUACUUGUAUUUCACAAUUAGUUACUGUCCUCGAGUAUCUUUUUGUAGUUUAACUGAGUAUCAAAUGUAUUAGCAAAUUUUACUCUCUACUUCACUACAUUUUUUUAAUCAAGAUAUGUACUCUUUACUCCAGUACCUUUGUAAAGAUUCAUGCAAUUACUCGUUACAUUCUGCAUGGCACCAGGCUUUUCUGCAGCAGUUUAUUUCUGCUACAAAAGACGGAAUAUUACACAGAGGAAGUCACGUGACACGAUCAGGAAACCACUUUUAAGAAAUCCACCCCAGACCUCGUAAAGAUUUCCUAACUCACCAUUUCAAAAGAUUAAAAACUGGUCAAAAGUUAGUGUUAAUCUACAGUGUUCGGCCAAAACAAUGGUUUAACCAACCAUACGUUUAUAAACACAACUCAAGCUGAAGGAAGUGAUGUAACAGAACUCUAACACACUGAAAAACACACUCUCAAUCAGCAGAAAAACAGAAAAAGUGUAUAUAUAUAUACAUAUAUAUAUAUAUAUAUAUAUAUAUAUAUAUAUAUAUAUAUAUAUAUAUAUAUAUAUAUAUAUAUAUAUAUAUAUAUAUAUAUAUCCCUCCACAUGACUGUACAAUAUGCAUGCAAAUAAACCUUGACAUACUUAUAUAUCCAACUUAAAUAUCCAUAUAAAGAUCUGGCCUAUAACUUACAUGAAUAUUAUAUUAUAACUUACAUGAAUAUUACAAUUUUAAUUACAAUAUACUGUAUGUAUGCAGACAAAAAUUGUACAAACUUAUAAAACCAAUUUUAUAUACAUCUAUACAUACUCUUAGUAUGAUAUACAGAGCUUUUCACUGAACAAAUUUUCACUGAAAGCAACAAAGAUUCAACUGAUCUGAGUGCAUUUCCAUUUAUGCUUUUAGCAGACGUGUUUACAUAGAUUUACUGUAAAUUCAAGCUAUGAAGUUUUUAUUUGAGAAUUGAACUCUUGACUAGUUUAGCUGGUAGAAACGAAUAGGUUACAAUUUACUAUCAACCAACACUACAGGACUUAUGUGUGCAAACCUUUAGACAUUUAUCAGGCCUUUCCCAGGUCUUUCCCCGAACUCGAGGAAUGAAAUUUAAGACAUUAUUAAUGCAAUAUUUAUCUGUAAACAGAAGGUUUUUGUAAACCAGGGUCAUUAAUUAACUGAUUUUGUACAUUCGUGAGGGCAGUUUUUAUCACCACCUUAAUAAUUGUAUCUGUGUUGUCUUUAAUGUCAAAUACUUGAAUUUAACAAAUUACUUCAAUUAAUCAAAAUACUUUAAACUGUUGCCAGUAACAACUGACUGUUUGAAAUCAUAUCUUAAUUAUACAUUUAAAAACAGGAGCCAAUAUGGCUGCAAUAUUAUGACAACAUUCGUUAUUGUCGAUUAUUGCCUCUUGAUAUUGUAAUAAUGAUUAUUAAUACGGAUUAAUGGAAUACAUAUAAAAAUCGCUUCAUCUGGAAAGCAUCCGCUGUGUACAAACAUCUGAUAGACGUCUUUAAGAUGUCAGUUUACAUUCAUUCUAAAUCAUAAACAUCUUAAAGACAUCUUCUAAAUGUCUAUUUGACAUCUGGUAGGAAAUGUCCUAUAGAUGUAUUGCAGAUGAACAAACACUAAAAAAAAAUACGUCUUGCAGAUGUAAUGCAGAGGUCAGAUAGAGUCUCUUUGUGCAAUCAGGGACAUGCAUUCUAAAUCAUAAACAUCUUAAAGACAUCUUAUUAACAUGUAUUUGACAUCUGAUAGGAAACUUCCUAUAGACAUUUUGCAGAUGAACAAACACUCUAAAAAAUACGUCUUGCAGAUGUAAUGCAGACGUCAAAUAGACAUCUCCGUGACGUACGUGUGCUAUCAGGGUGUGUUUUCAUGACUUUUGAACACUUGAGCACAUCGAUCACCUUCUCGAGAUUCAUGAUUAAAAGCUAACUUUCAUGUAUGCUUUUUCUUGCCAUCAUAUAGUCGCAGUUGCAAAUCAAGAAGCGCUAAAAACAGGAGUCCACAGAAGUUUGAGGGAAAAUAAUGUGUGUUUGGUUUCCUCUUUUUUCCAUUGUUUUGCUUACUCAUCUGACAGUUCAGCCCAGACAUGUACGUUAAAGCUCACACUAUACAACCCGUUACACCACAUAUCAACAUUCAGUAUCACUUUUAGCAGACGUGUUUACAUACAUUUACUGUAAAUUCAAGCUGUGAAGUUUUUAUUUAAGAAUUGAACUCUUGACUAGUUUAUCUGGUAGAAACCAAUAGGUUACAAUUUACUAUCAACCAACACUACAGGACUUUAAGCAAUUAUGUGUGCAAACCUUUAAACAUUAUCAGGCCUUUUUGGCCUCUCUCAGGUCUUUCCCUGUACUCGAGGAACAAAAUUUAAGACAUUAUUAAUGCAAUAUUUAUCUGUAAACAGAAGGGUUCUGUAAACCAGGGUCAUUAUUUAACUGAUUUUGUACAUUCGUGAGGGCAGUUUUUAUCACCACCUUAAUAAUUGUAUCUGUGUUGUUUUUAAUGUCAAUUACUUGAAUUUAACCAAUUACUUCAAUCAAUCAAAAUUUUGUCUCAAAAAAAGUUUGUCUCAUGGCUUCAGAGACAAACAUGUCGGUCCAUGACGUUAGACUAGACUAGCACAAGUUGAGCAAAACCUCCCAUUAUAAUAACUGAUGCUAUGAAAUUAAUCUUUUAUUUACAUCGUAUCUGCACUGUUGUUUAUGAUGUGGGUUCAGUGCGGCAAUAUAAUCAACAACAACUCCGGAGUCUUGAGCACUGACUAAUCUAAGCAGCUCUGAUUGGCCAUUGCAUUCCUAAGCUCAACGGAAACGCAUGUGAUUGCUUAUAAAGCUCAACACUGCAAAAUAAAAAAAGCAUAAAAUGCAAUCUGAUGCAGCAUGAGCAGUUCAUUUUAAUCACAACAGCUGUAGUACAUUGUUGCAUUGUGCAGGGGCAAUUUUUGCCCCUUUAUCUUGAAUUUGUGGGGCAUUUUGGUUAAUUUUGGUUGCAUUUUUGCCACAAGCCCCCAUUAACAACAUGUGACUGCUUCAACUCACUCCAGGCGGCCAAAUGCAGAAAUGCAUAACUCAGUCUAGCAAAGCUAAGAUUUUCUGUGACUUUCCGACUUUAAUUGCUUUGAAAUGUUAAUUCCAAAUCACCAAACUGCAUCACGUCUGCAAGAGGUCUGUCAAAGAUCGCUUCAUCUGGAAAGCAUCUGCUGUGUACAAACAUCUGAUAGACGUCUUUAAGAUGUCAGUUUACAUUCAUUCUAAAUCAUAAACAUCUUAAAGACAUCUUAUUAACGUCUAUUUGACAUCUGAUAGGAAACGUCCUAUAGUCGUAUUGCAGAUGAACAAACACUAAAAAAAUAUGCCUUGCAGAUGUAAUGCAGACGUCAAAUAGACGUCUCUGUAUUGUACGUGUGCUAUCAAGGUGUGUUUUCAUGACUUUUGAGCACUUGUGCACAUCAAUCACCUCCUCGAGAUUCAUGAUUAAAAGCUAACUUUCAAGGUUUUUCUUGCCAUCGUAUAGUCGCAGUUGCAAAUCGAGAAGCGCUAAAAACUGAAUUGCACAGAAGUUCAAGGGGAAAUAAUGUGCGAUUGGUUUCCUCUUUUUUCCAUUGUUUUGUUUACUCAUCUGACAGUUCAGCCCAGACAUGUACGUUAAAGCUCACGCUAUACAACCCGUAACACCACAUAUCAACACACAGUACCAUUGUUAACAUGUCAAGCUAAAUAAUUUACAAACGCAAAGAGAUAUGUGCUUUAUAUAACCUAUAAAACUCCCAAAGCCAAACAUAAGUGAAAAUAAGCAUCCGGUUUCUCAGGGAAAGUGCGAUCCUACACGAGUUUUGCUGUGAAACUAGUGUCUCUGUACCUGCGAGUAAACACACUCCUCCUGAAGCUGCUGCUGUGGAGCGUUUGAGUGGUUCGGAGUGAAUGUCACCUCGCCGUACUGAACCUCCUCCUCCUUCUUCUUCUUCUUCCUCUUUGUCUGCGUUCGGACCUCGGAGUAUUCCACAUCAGCAGCCAGGAAAGAUUCUGUGGCGAGAGAGGAGAAAUGAGGACAAGAGAGAAUAUAUAACCAGCAGUGAAAUGACUGGUUUGACUAACUGACAAACAAAGCUUUUCAGGAGUGAAACUAUUUCACUGAGAAUGUAGCAAACAAUAAUGAUAAAAAAAGAUCAAAUCCAGUGCAAGUUAAACUAGCGAUGGGAAGAUCGGAUCAUUUUAAUUUCUCGUUCUCAUUCAAUAAAAUCAACAAUC